AAUUUGUUUUUUGUUUUGCUCUACAAAGAGAAAAAAUAAAUUAGUGAAUAAAUUGGCUCCCAAUAUCACCCAAAAAGAUAUGCAAUUAAUUGGCCGCACUUAAAGGUGCGUAGCCCUUGUUUGACUAAACCUAAGCCUUUCACAAUUUUACAGUUCAACAUUUUCACCCAUUUUCUCCUCUUCCCUCGCUAGAUCCUCCCCAAAUUCAAAAGAAGCACCAUCCCCUGACGAUUUCUCCUGCCAUUUCAUAGCCUUGCAGCCUCGAUUAUCUUUCAGGAUUGGAAGAAGCUCGACUUGUGGGGAAUAGUUGUCGGGAUUCUUGAGGAGCGGGACUAGGAGCUAGGCAAGCAUUUGCGUUUGGAGCAGAAGCAACCCUGCUUCAAUGAUGGUAAGAAAAAAGCUUUUGAAAACCGUAGAGACCACUGUUAGUGCUAAAUUGGAAAAUGAUUCAAGUGGUUAGGAAACUCUGUUACAGACUCGAGGUCAUCACCAACUACUCCCGAAAAUGAAACAUUUCGAAGUCCAGAUGAUACCCAUCGUGACUCGCCAAGGGGCACCGAACAAUCUCAGCUCAAUGACUCUCAAAAUAUGGAGUCUUAUAACAUUAUCGAUGGUGAAGGAAGAACAAGAGCGAAGGGAGGGGUUGCACGGGCAAAGGAUGUUCGGAGUUUGUCAAAUGGUGAAAAAUCAUUGUUUGUGUUAAUGAACUUGGCCACCCAAUUGAGAAGCCAGAUGGCAUAUCAAGUAUUUGACUUAGAACAGUUGCUCGUCGCGGAAAUCUACGCCCACUUAAAUAUGUCAAUUGGAAGAAAGUGUCUCGUCUCAAGAAAAAUUAUCAAGAACUUAACAAUGGUAAGUUAUCAA
Non-coding RNA from Punica granatum (pomegranate), 864 nucleotides. Lineage: Eukaryota; Viridiplantae; Streptophyta; Magnoliopsida; Myrtales; Lythraceae. The record is from RefSeq and is a predicted model, not a curated record.